AGCGAACGCUGGCGGCGUGGUUAAGGCAUGCAAGCCGAGCGAUCCCGCAAGGGAUAGCGGCAAACGGGUGAGUAACGCGUAGGUAACCUACCCUGAAGUGUGGGAUAGUCCGGCGAAAGUCGGGGUAAUACCACAUGCACUUGCGGACUGCAUGGUUCGCAAGGAAAGAUGGCCUCGACCGAAAGGUUGCUAUCACUUUAGGAGGGACCUGCGUCCCAUCAGCUAGUUGGAGGGUAACGGCCUACCAAGGCAUUUGACGGGUAGGCUAGCCUUAGAGGGCGGGUUAGCCACACUGGGACUGAGACACUGCCCAGACUCCU
This 320-nucleotide ribosomal RNA is filed under the name uncultured bacterium. RNAcentral's name for it is "bacterial SSU rRNA". It matches the Rfam family "Bacterial small subunit ribosomal RNA", at positions 29 to 340 of the family's 1533-position model. The record is from RNAcentral.